This is a long non-coding RNA of Ficedula albicollis (Collared flycatcher), 830 nucleotides long. The record is from Ensembl. Lineage: Eukaryota; Metazoa; Chordata; Aves; Passeriformes; Muscicapidae.
AUGUGGACAGUCUGGGACAAACUCCUCCUGUUCCUUGAAGCCUAUUAGAAGCAGCUCUGCCACAACCUUUGGAGAUCAGGUCUCUGGGAGUCCCGUAGAUGACAAAAAGAGAACUCCUCAAGCAAUGGAAUUUCUUGAAUGUCAUCAAAAGAAGUCAGACCCAGAUGUGGAUUGUUCCUGCUUGAUAUGCCAGGAGUGAAGCUAGCUUUCUGUAGUUUCCCAUGCUGUGAGCCAGAAGCUGCCGUCUUCAGUGAACUCAUCAUUAGCAGGAUGAGAAUGAUACGGGACAAGUCUCUGACCCUGUUUCUGCCACGGAAAAGCUGAAGUAAUUCUGACUGUUGGGAUGUUUCGCCAUGGCAGAGGAUUUUUCAGCAGUUUCAGCAAAAUAAAUAUAAGGCAUGGAAUCUUGAACAGAUAUGGUUUUCUUCAGGAUAUGUGCCAGAAAUUUGAGUUAAUGGGUAGCAACAACAGAAAGAAAUUAAAAUUCUAUCUUAAAUGGUGGACAAAAUGCUUUAAAUAUGUGUUAAGACCCAUUUUUCGUUUACUUUAUGUAAGACUUAUGCAAGUUCUCCAAUCUAUUUUCCAAGAUAAAUGUAUACCAGACAAAUCUGGUUUUUAAAUCUUCUGCAGUUAUCAUGAAGAAGCAAAUAAUGACAUCAGGCUUAAAAAUAUCUGCCUAGAUUAUCAGCUGAGAAACAUCAUGCUAAAACCAAAAUUUUGCCCACCAAGUUUGAGAAUUUUGGUAAUUUGUAAUUGCAAAUAACCCAGCCACACUAGUUUGGGCUCUCAAUAUUUUUAGCAUUAUAACUGGAUACGCACAACAAGUCAGU